This 249-nucleotide ribosomal RNA is filed under the name uncultured bacterium. RNAcentral describes it as "partial 16S ribosomal RNA". It matches the Rfam family "Bacterial small subunit ribosomal RNA", at positions 524 to 776 of the family's 1533-position model. The record is from RNAcentral.
UACGUAGGGUGCGAGCGUUAAUCGGAAUACUGGGCGUAAAGCGUGCGCAGGCGGUAAUGUAAGACAGAUGUGAAAUCCCCGGGCUUAACCUGGGACCUGCAUUUGUGACUGCAUUGCUGGAGUGCGGCAGAGGGGAUGGAAUUCCGCGUGUAGCAGUGAAAUGCGUAGAUAUGCGGAGGAACACCGAUGGCGAAGGCAAUCCCCUGGCCUGCACUGACGCUCAUGCACGAAAGCGUGGGAGCAAACAGG